AACGCACAUUGCGCCCGCCAGCACUCUGGCGGGCAUGCCUGUUCGAGCGUCAUUUCAACCCUCAGGCCCCCGUGGCCUGGUGUUGGGGCACUGCGCGUCUAGGGACGCGCAGGCCCUGAAAAGCAGUGGCGGGCUCGCUAGAACUCCGGGCGCAGUAGAUCAAAUCUCGUCUAGGUGGUCUGGCGCGGUCUUGCCGUUAAAACCCCACUAUCAUAUAACAGGUUGACCUCGGAUCAGGUAGGAAUACCCGCUGAACUUAA
Molecule: unclassified non-coding RNA, 260 nt
Filed under: uncultured fungus
Lineage: Eukaryota; Fungi
Description: partial contains 5.8S ribosomal RNA, internal transcribed spacer 2, and large subunit ribosomal RNA
Source: RNAcentral